Molecule: ribosomal RNA, 450 nt
Filed under: uncultured bacterium
Lineage: Bacteria
Description: partial 16S ribosomal RNA
Rfam family: Bacterial small subunit ribosomal RNA
Source: RNAcentral
GUGGGGAAUCUUCCGCAAUGGACGAAAGUCUGACGGAGCAACGCCGCGUGAGUGAUGAAGGUCUUCGGAUUGUAAAGCUCUGUUAAUCGGGACGAAAGAGCCUAGUGUGAAUAAUGCUAGGAAGUGACGGUACCGGAAUAGAAAGCCACGGCUAACUACGUGCCAGCAGCCGCGGUAAUACGUAGGUGGCAAGCGUUGUCCGGAAUUAUUGGGCGUAAAGCGCGCCAAGGCGGAUCUGCCAGUCUGUCUUAAAAGUUCGGGGCUUAACCCCGUGAUGGGAUGGAAACUACAGAUCUAGAGUAUCGGAGAGGAAAGUGGAAUUCCUAGUGUAGCGGUGAAAUGCGUAGAUAUUAGGAAGAACACCAGUGGCGAAGGCGACUUUCUGGACGAAAACUGACGCUGAGGCGCGAAAGCCAGGGGAGCGAACGGGAUUAGAAACCCGAGUAGUCC